UGUCUACCUCUUCCCAUUCCGAACAGAGAAGUCAAGCCCGCCAGAGCCGAUGGUAUUGCCGUAACAGGUGGGAGAGUAGGUCGGUGCCUUUU
This 92-nucleotide ribosomal RNA is filed under the name Sphingobacterium sp. JUb20. The record is from RNAcentral. Lineage: Bacteria; Pseudomonadati; Bacteroidota; Sphingobacteriia; Sphingobacteriales; Sphingobacteriaceae.